GAGAAUUCCAGAGAGGAGCCCCAGUGACUGCCCCCCACCUCACAGGAGCUGACAAGAUAUCACAACAUGCGCGCACACAGGAACACACAAUUGAAGGAAACAGAGAACAGUGAAGGCAACACGUUGGAGGACACACCUGCAGCUCGGCAUCAUUCCCUGCUUUCUGGCUGUGUGUCUCGUCUCCCUGGAUUCCCUCUGGACUUCCUGCUGCCUCCCCGGAUCUCGACCUCCCGCUUGCCCCACCCACGGACAACGAGGUCUCGCUCCAGCCCCUGACCACUUGCCUGUCCCCGGAACUCCGAGCCGGCCUUGCCCUUUCUGGACUUUUGCACCUAUCUCAACACGCACCUUCAAGAUCUCCAGAGUUGAGGGGGGUGCUGGUGCCUAUCUCAACUACAAUCAGGCGGAAGGCGGGGUACACCCUGGACAAGUCGCCACCUCAUCGCAGGGCCAACACAGAUAGACGGACAACAUCCACACUCACAUUCACACACUAGGGACUAUUUAGUGUUGCCAAUCAACCUAUCCCCAGGUGCAUGUCUUUGGAGGUGGGAGGGGCCUAUCCACAGGUGCAUGUCUUCGGAGGUGGGAGGAAGCCGGAGUACCCGGAGGGAACCCACGUAUUCAAGGAGGGGACAUGCAAACUCCACACAGAAAGAUCCCGAGCCCGGGAUUGAACCCAGGACUA
Molecule: long non-coding RNA, 688 nt
Organism: Nerophis ophidion (straightnose pipefish)
Lineage: Eukaryota; Metazoa; Chordata; Actinopteri; Syngnathiformes; Syngnathidae
Exons: 3
Source: RefSeq, a predicted model, not a curated record